GUGGGGAAUCUUAGACAAUGGGGGAAACCCUGAUCUAGCCAUGCCGCGUGAGCGAUGAAGGCCUUAGGGUUGUAAAGCUCUUUCAGCUGGGAAGAUAAUGGCGGUACCAGCAGAAGAAGCCCCGGCUAACUCCGUGCCAGCAGCCGCGGUAAUACGGAGGGGGCUAGCGUUGUUCGGAAUUACUGGGCGUAAAGCGCACGUAGGCGGAUCAGAAAGUCAGAGGUGAAAUCCCAGGGCUCAACCUUGGAACUGCCUUUGAAACUCCUGGUCUUGAGGUCGAGAGAGGUGAGUGGAAUUCCGAGUGUAGAGGUGAAAUUCGUAGAUAUUCGGAGGAACACCAGUGGCGAAGGCGGCUCACUGGCUCGAUACUGACGCUGAGGUGCGAAAGCGUGGGGAGCAAACAGGAUUAGAAACCCGGGUAGUCC
Molecule: ribosomal RNA, 425 nt
Filed under: uncultured bacterium
Lineage: Bacteria
Description: partial 16S ribosomal RNA
Rfam family: Bacterial small subunit ribosomal RNA
Source: RNAcentral